RNAcentral lists this transfer RNA (70 nucleotides) under Cavia porcellus (domestic guinea pig). It matches the Rfam family "tRNA". From Rfam's summary of the family: Transfer RNA (tRNA) molecules are approximately 80 nucleotides in length. Their secondary structure includes four short double-helical elements and three loops (D, anti-codon, and T loops). The record is from Rfam by way of RNAcentral. Lineage: Eukaryota; Metazoa; Chordata; Mammalia; Rodentia; Caviidae.
GGGGAUUUAGCUCAGCGGCAUAAGCACCUGCCUUGCAAGCAGGUGGUCGUGAGUUCGAUCCCUGUCACCA